CACAUGCAAGCCGAGCGGUAUUUGUCUUUCGGGACAGAGAGAGCGGCGUACGGGUGCGGAACACGUGUGCAACCUGCCUUUAUCAGGGGGAUAGCCUUUCGAAAGGAAGAUUAAUACCCCAUAAUAUAUUGACUGGCAUCAGUCGAUAUUGAAAACUCCGGUGGAUAGAGAUGGGCACGCGCAAGAUUAGAUAGUUGGUAGGGUAACGGCCUACCAAGUCAAUGAUCUUUAGGGGGCCUGAGAGGGUGAUCCCCCACACUGGUACUGAGACACGGACCAGACUCCUACGGGAGGCAGCAG
This 300-nucleotide ribosomal RNA is filed under the name uncultured bacterium. Its description in RNAcentral is "bacterial SSU rRNA". It matches the Rfam family "Bacterial small subunit ribosomal RNA", at positions 52 to 354 of the family's 1533-position model. The record is from RNAcentral.